This 210-nucleotide long non-coding RNA is filed under the name Gossypium barbadense (sea-island cotton). RNAcentral describes it as "long non-coding RNA (GBAR_LNC017870)". The record is from RNAcentral. Lineage: Eukaryota; Viridiplantae; Streptophyta; Magnoliopsida; Malvales; Malvaceae.
UUGAAUUCAUGAAGUUUUUAGUGCUAAUUGCUUGCAUGUUAAGCUUAAAUGUUUGUAGGACUAAUUUGUAAAGUGAGAUUUGGAUGAUUUUGUCAUUAAGGAUUAAAAUGUAAAAUUUUGCAAAUAGUGGGGUAAAACUGAUAUGCUAUGUGCUGCUAGUAAGUUAGCUAAGGAUGAAUUCAAAAUAGGUUUUGGAAUCAAAGCUCAAAU